RNAcentral lists this ribosomal RNA (422 nucleotides) under uncultured archaeon. Its description in RNAcentral is "partial 16S ribosomal RNA". It matches the Rfam family "Archaeal small subunit ribosomal RNA", at positions 323 to 746 of the family's 1478-position model. The record is from RNAcentral.
CUACGGGGCGCUGCAGUUAGGAAUAAUCUACAAUGCACGAAAGUGUGAUAGUUUGAGUCAAAGUGCGUUUCAAUUUGAAAUGCUUUUAUGGAAUGUAAAAAGUUCCACGAAUAAGGACUGGGUAAGACAGGUGCCAGCCGCCGCGGUAAUACCUGCGGUCCAAGUCGCAGCCAUUUUUAUUGGGUCUAAAGCAUCCGUAGCUUGCUUGGUAAGUUUCUUGUGAAAUUCCAUAUCUUAAAUAUGGAGCGGGCAGGAAGUACUGCCAAGCUAGAGACUGGGAGACGUAAGAAGUACGUUCGAAGUAGCGGUAAAAUGUGUUAAUCUCGAGCGGACUCACAACAGCGAAGGCAUCUUACGAGAACAGUUCUGACAGUAAGGGAUGAAGGCUAGGGGCGCAAAACGGAUUAGAUACCCUGGUAGUC